CCUACGGGAGGCUGCAGUGGGGGAUAUUGCACAAUGGGGGGAACCCUGAUGCAGCGACGCCGCGUGGGUGAAGGAGCGUUUCGGCGCGUAAAGCCCUAUCGGCAGGGAAGAAGAUGACGGUACCUGGCCAAGAAGCCCCGGCUAACUACGUGCCAGCAGCCGCGGUAAUACGUAGGGGGCAAGCGUUAUCCGGAUUUACUGGGCGUAAAGGGGGCGCAGGCGGGAAUGCAAGCCAGGUGUGAAAGCCCGGGGCCUAACCCCGGGACUGCACUUGGAACUGCAUGGCUGGAGUACAGGAGGGGCAGGCGGAAUUCCUGGUGUAGCGGUGAAAUGCGUAGAUAUUAGGAGGAACACCGGUGGCGAAGGCGGCCUGCUGGACUGUGACUGACGUUGAGGCCCGAAGGCGUGGGGAGCAAACAGGAUUAGAUACCCCUGUAGUC
This 440-nucleotide ribosomal RNA is filed under the name uncultured bacterium. Its description in RNAcentral is "partial 16S ribosomal RNA". It matches the Rfam family "Bacterial small subunit ribosomal RNA", at positions 338 to 795 of the family's 1533-position model. The record is from RNAcentral.